Molecule: ribosomal RNA, 468 nt
Filed under: uncultured bacterium
Lineage: Bacteria
Description: partial 16S ribosomal RNA
Rfam family: Bacterial small subunit ribosomal RNA
Source: RNAcentral
GACGAACGCUGGCGGCGUGCUUAACACAUGCAAGUCGAACGGAAAGGCCCUGCUUUUGUGGGGUGCUCGAGUGGCGAACGGGUGAGUAACACGUGAGUAACCUGCCCUUGACUUUGGGAUAACUUCAGGAAACUGGGGCUAAUACCGGAUAGGAGCUCCUGCUGCAUGGUGGGGGUUGGAAAGUUUCGGCGGUUGGGGAUGGACUCGCGGCUUAUCAGCUUGUUGGUGGGGUAGUGGCUUACCAAGGCUUUGACGGGUAGCCGGCCUGAGAGGGUGACCGGCCACAUUGGGACUGAGAUACGGACCAGACUCCUACGGGAGGCAGCAGUGGGGAAUAUUGCACAAUGGGCGGAAGCCUGAUGCAGCAACGCCACGUGCGGGAUGACGGCCUUCGGGUUGUAAACCGCUUUCGCCUGUGACGAAGUGUGAGUGACGGUAAUGGGUAAAGAAGCACCGGCUAACUACGUG